UCCGAUCUCCAGCAUCUGCAGUCCUCACUUUCACCAUGGUAGCGACCACCAAACCACCCAGUUAUCCAAUUAAAACAAGUAACAAUGAGCAAGCACUGCCCAGCAGGGACAAUGCAAUCGUGAAAAAAAGAAGGAAAGGUGAUACCUUGAUUUAAACAAUCUAAUUUUUGUUUUGAAACCUGUCUGCAACUUCCUCCGGGCCUAAAAUCCUUUGAGAUAUCUGGAUUGUUCCAAUUCUGGCUUCUUGAGAGUUUGCAAUUUUCAUCACUCCACCAUUGCCAAUCAGCUACCAGUCCCAAAACUUUGGAAUUCACUUGUUUAAUAUUUUUAAAACUAUCUUUCCUACUUUAAGAUGCUCCUUAAAGCCUUCCUCUUUGUUUUUGGUCACAUCUCCUAACUGUCCUUAUGCAGUUACAUGUCAAAUUCUGUUUGCUAAUUGCUCCUGUGAAGCAAUUAGAGGAUAUGCAAGAAAUGCUAGUCCUGUUAGUGACACUCACAUCCUGAGAAUGAAUUUAAAAGCUCACAGUAUAGCUGGGAAAAUGAACCUGAUCUAUACGGCUCAGUAUUAAACACGUCAUGUGACUUCAUGCAAAUUUCAAAAUGGCCUUUGAGUGGAAUAUUUUAUUUAUAAACAUUAAAGUUUCAAACCAUAUAUGUUUAUAGUGCAGAAGCAGCCAAUCACUACAUUGUGCCGGUGUCAAAUUCUUUUUAAGAGCUUUGUCCCCCAAAUCUCUGUCUUUUUCAACUGCAUUCAGUGAGACUGUUUAUUCUGAAAUUAUAAGCAAGUAUUAUAACAGUGAGGUUGUUUGAGUCAAGCUGAGCUGAUUUUAUAAAGGACCUUAAUGUAAGCCAGAGGUCUUAAAGGUGACAAGGCAACACUCUGAAGCAGUGAUCCAUUGUUUCCUAGGAACUCAGCAUUUUUAACUGAAUUGUAAUGGAUAAAUUAGAACUUCAGAUAAAAUGAAUCUUGAAGGAGCAGUGAGCAUUUAGCUCAGACUGGUAGCAUUUUCUGAAGCAGUACAAUGUUUUGCUUUCCAAAUUUGUAUACAAGUGAAAGAGAUAAACAA
This is a long non-coding RNA of Chiloscyllium plagiosum (whitespotted bambooshark), 1067 nucleotides long. RefSeq lists it as uncharacterized. Lineage: Eukaryota; Metazoa; Chordata; Chondrichthyes; Orectolobiformes; Hemiscylliidae. The record is from RefSeq and is a predicted model, not a curated record.